RNAcentral lists this long non-coding RNA (331 nucleotides) under Homo sapiens (human). RNAcentral describes it as "HSALNT0291905". The record is from RNAcentral. Lineage: Eukaryota; Metazoa; Chordata; Mammalia; Primates; Hominidae.
GCGGAAGGGCAGAGGUGCUGGAGAGAGGCCCCAGGCCCCUCCGCCACCGAGGAAGCAAAGAACCCCGUGAACCAAGUCGCCACUCGAGAUUUUACCCAGUGAGAACAUGUUUAGGACACUUUUCUACAGUGGAAGAAAAGCUUCUGUCUGCAGGUCCAAAGGCACCGUCCUGAGUUGGAAAAAGAUGAAUCAGACCCAGUCCCUCCCUGGAGUUGCUCAGAGGUCUGGAGGAGAAAGGCAUAGAGGUACGAUGUCUUCGUAUGCUCACCGUGCCCCAAAUUCGGUUUUCACUUGCAUCCGAGGGUACUGUCUGAGAGAAGGGCAAAAGCCA